This 405-nucleotide ribosomal RNA is filed under the name uncultured soil bacterium. RNAcentral describes it as "bacterial SSU rRNA". It matches the Rfam family "Bacterial small subunit ribosomal RNA", at positions 26 to 454 of the family's 1533-position model. The record is from RNAcentral.
AGAACGAACGCUGGCGGCAUGCCUAAUACAUGCAAGUCGAACGAACUCUUCGGAGUUAGUGGCGCACGGGUGCGUAACGCGUGGGAAUCUGCCCCUUGGUUCGGAAUAACAGUUGGAAACGACUGCUAAUACCGGAUGAUGGCGAAAGUCCAAAGAUUUAUCGCCAAGGGAUGAGCCCGCGUAGGAUUAGCUAGUUGGUGAGGUAAAGGCUCACCAAGGCAACGAUCCUUAGCUGGUCUGAGAGGAUGAUCAGCCACACUGGGACCGAGACACGGCCCAGACUCCUACGGGAGGCGAGCGAGUAGGGAAGUAUUAGGAUAAUAGGGCGAAAGCUGAUCAGCAAUGCCGCGUGAGUGAGUGAAGGUCCGUUAGGUUGUAAAGCUUCUUUUACCGAGAUGAUAAUGA